AUGCACGCCAAAGGGUUCCCACCUCUCUGGUGCUCCUGGAUUGAAAACUUGAACCGUACAGCCAGCUCUUCUGUGCUUUUAAAUGGGAAACCUGGACCCUGGUUUCAAUGCCGCCGAGGUUUUAGACAGGGGGACUCCCUUUCCCCUUAUCUCUUUAUCAUUGUCGCAGAUGUCCUUAAGAGACUUAUCAUCCAGGCUGCUGCCAACGGGAAACUCUCUCACCCUCUCGACGCUUCUCUUCCUUGCACGGUCCUUCAAUAUGCCGACGACACUCUUAUCGUCCUCCCGCCAGACGCGGCUCAGCUUCACACUCUCAAACAUAUCCUGACCCAGUUCUCUGAGGCCACGGGGCUCACCAUUAAUUUUCAAAAAAGCACCUUCGCCCCCAUUCACGUAGACCACGACCUUUCCACGGAACUCGCGGCAAUUUUUGGCUGUCCGGUAGCCUCCUUCCCCCAAUCUUACUUGGGAUUGCCACUCUCGACCCAUAAACUAAACCUUGCAAACUUCUUCUUCAUCAUCGACAAGGUUGACCGGUGUUUGGCUGGGUGGAGAGGCCUCUUGUUGUCUCUUGCUGGCAGGGCUGUUCUUGUCCGGGCGGGUCCUUCACGCUCUCCCGAUCUAUGCUAUGAGCGUUCUUCGACUUCCAGUGGGCAUCCUGCAAGAGAUAGACAAACGGUGUCGUGCUUUCUUCUGGGUCGGGCAAGAUUCUGUUACGGGUGGCCAAUGCAAAGUUGCUUGGGACCUGGUCCGCGCCCCCUUCUCUCAUGGAGGGCUGGGCUUCACGAACCUAGACCAUAUGAACCAAUGUCUCCUCCUCCACCACUUAUCAAAAAUUCAUACCUCCGAGUCAACCCAGGACUCUCCUUACCUUCGCUCCAAAUAUGGCUGGUCUCCCUCGAAUGA
RNAcentral lists this ribosomal RNA (906 nucleotides) under Triticum aestivum (bread wheat). Its description in RNAcentral is "partial small subunit ribosomal RNA". Lineage: Eukaryota; Viridiplantae; Streptophyta; Magnoliopsida; Poales; Poaceae. The record is from RNAcentral.